GCGUGGAUGCUCCAUCUGCUUUGCAAGCAGAAGGUCAGGAGUUCGAUUCUCCUAUGCUCCA
This 61-nucleotide transfer RNA is filed under the name Corynebacterium urealyticum DSM 7109. Its description in RNAcentral is "tRNA-Ala (TGC) (tRNA-Ala-TGC-2-1)". It matches the Rfam family "tRNA", at positions 13 to 71 of the family's 71-position model. Rfam says of the family: Transfer RNA (tRNA) molecules are approximately 80 nucleotides in length. RNAcentral also lists the same sequence under 1 other name. Lineage: Bacteria; Bacillati; Actinomycetota; Actinomycetes; Mycobacteriales; Corynebacteriaceae. The record is from RNAcentral.